CUACCACAGGCAGGUUCGGCGGCCGAAACUACUUUCGGCGGCCGAACCUGAGUUCUUCCCAGAAGGGCAGAACUCAGCUUUCACAUGCACAACAGCCUCCAAACCUUCCAAAACAUGCAUUAACUAUUCUACAACAUGCAACCAAGUACAUAGGGGUCUCAAACUAUCCUAAACCCCAACAACAAUACAUUCAUUAUACAUAAACACACAUUUGCAUAAAGAGUAACAUAAACCCUCAACCUUAUGCAUUUGUUCUAAAACAACCCAAAUCCUCACAUACUCUCUCCCCAUCAUGCAUACUCACUCCCACAUGCAUAGACUAGUUUAAACUUCCAACAUAUCAUCACAUAAACACUCAUAAACAUACAUUUACAUAAAAACUCAUAUAAACCUUAACAUGCAUACCUACCCAUACUCAACCAUUAAAACCUCUUAAAACUUCGUUAAAAUAUAAAGGAAAGCAAAGAUCUACACUUACCUCUUGGAGAUCGAGGGUUGGUGUGAUCCCCUAACUUGGAGAUGGGAGGAAACUACUCCUUGGGUCUCCAAGCUCCCAAAACUUAGAUCUAAACUUGAAAACUCUUCAAAACAACCAUGAAACUCAUAAAAACAUGAAGGAAAUGAAUAAAAACAUGAAAACGGCCAAGGGAGGACAAAAACUCACCUGAGCUCGAGAAUGGGGAGAAAACUCGCCCAUUUCCGAUCUGAGGGCUCUUUAUAGGUGGCCUGGUCAACGACCUUCGGCAGCCUAACGUGCCCCCUAAACUCAUGCAUGUUCGACGGCCGAACUUGAGCUUCGGCGGCCGAACCUUGGUUAGUUCAAACAAAGCUUUCGGAGGCCAAAAGCGUUCCCGAAACCUUCCCAUGUUCGGCGGCCGAACUUCACUUUCGGCGGCCGAACCUGGCAAAUGCCUCCUUGGUCUUUUCUUUUCAAAACUCAAUUCUUUUUCCAUUUAAAACCAUAAAAUCAUGUGAAAACAUUUUUAGAAACACAUUUUACCCCUCUAGAAGACUCUAGCAUCAUCAAAAUUCCAGAUUCCAACGGAGAUUCCGCCGGAAGGUAGGGAUUCCAAUGCCGGAAUCUAGCCUGGUAUUACAUUCUUCCCCCCUUAAGAACAUUCGUCCCCGAAUGUUCACCAAACAAACACGCAUUCUUAAAACAUAGCAUCAAGCAUGCAUAAACAAGCAAGCAAAACCGAAAACCUCUCUCCAAAGAGAGACACAGGUACUGCUGGAGUAAGAACUCCCGGGUCUUCCAAACACACCUUAGCAACCAGUGGUGAUUCCCAAAACCUUUUCACCAUCGGGAUUUCCUUGUUCUUCAUCUUCUUGACUUGUGUGUCCAUGAUUCACACUAACUGCUCAACAUAGGUGAGAUCCCUUGAGAUCUCCACCUCUGAUUCUUUAAAAACCUCACUUGGAUCUGACACGAGCUUCCAUAACACAGGAACAUGGAAAUCCGAACGGACUUUCUCCAUAGAAAAUCACCCUUACCAAAAGAAACACCUUAGCAGUACCCGACCUUCUCCUGAACUCCACUGGCAUCCGUUGCGCUUCUCUGAUCCUUACUCUUAUCUUUCAUCUUUACCAACUGGCUUCUUCUCACUGCUAACCCAAAACGAACUCUAACUCUCACAGGUAGUACCCGAAUUUCAAAUCUAUCUUAGAAAACAAAUAGCUCCUACUAGCUGUCCCAAUAGAUCAUCCAUCCUGCAUGGAAAUACCUCCCCUUGGUAGUGACCUUGGUCAACUGUUUACAGUCGUUACAAAGUCUCAAGGAUCCAUCCUUCUUUUCCCAUAACCAUAUUGGAGCAAUCCAAGGUGAGGUAUUAGGUCGGAUAAAACCCCUUGUCUACCAAGUCUCACAACUGCUCUAGCAACUCCUACAAUUCUGCAGGUGCCAUCCUGUAGGGGAGAAUAGAAAUGGUUCUGGGUCCAGACACCACUCCUAUGCUCAACUCCACUUCCCUAACAGAUGGUGAACCUGACAACUCGCUGGGAAAACAUCUAAAACUCUCUAACCAAAGACACUGAGGUUGGUUCCCGGACCUGACUGCAAAACUCUUAAACAAGAGCUAGAACCCUCUGACAACCCCUCCUACGCACCCUACGAACCUGACAGGCUGACAUCAAACCUCUAGGCAUCCCUACUGUGUCCCCUCAGAAGACUACCUCUGACCCAUCCUGUCCUCUGAACCUGACUACCUUGUCUCUGCAGAGCAAGAUAGCACCACGAGCAGAAACCAAUCCAACCCUAAACUAAUGUCCAGACAGUCAAGUCUAGGACCUCAAAGUCGGGUGGAAAGCAUCUACCCUCAACUGACACUGAACUGAACCGGCAGACUGACUCUGCCACAGAUGGAUCACACUUGGGUUCACCGACCCAAAGAGAACACUCUAGCCCAGAAGCUAUCAACUCAACCUUUCGACGGCUCCUAGAGCAACUAAAGAAAGAGAAUACCAAGGUUCACAAAAACAUACACAUCAGAACAUUCAAAAGUGAGCGUACCUGACACCACUGUGUUCGAUGUGUCUGCCUCCUGCUGAGCUUGGGUGAAGAUCCGAGCUGCAGCUGACGGACCUUCUCCACGGGAACCUAAGGAAUGAGGGACUGACCCUCUCCCUCUGCCUCGCCCACUAACCUAAACCAUGGCUGGAGCUGCUGGCUAAGCCGCUCUACCUGAAGCUGUCUGCUAGGAUUGAGCCAUCCAGGGCGCAGUGGGACACUCUCGUGCUAUGUGCCCCUCCUGUCCGCACCUGAAACAUGCUGUAGUCCCCACCCGACAGACUCCUUUGUGCGGCCUUCCACACCUCGAACAUCUUGAACUGCCCGAGCCAGAGCUUGAGCCACCAAAACCUAGACUAGCCUUCAACCGAUUCCAAAACUUGCUCUUCUUUGACCUUCUCAGGCCUCUGUCCCCUUUCCUAGUGGUGUUUCCCCACCUUUUAUCUCUUGAGGCAGCUGUACUCAGAGUGGAGGGAUCAAUCCCUCCUAAACCUGAGAUUCUGGAAUCCUGAGUCUGAGCUUCCUCCUGAGAAUCUCCCAUACCUUCUUCUGGUACUCUGAUUCCCAAACUGACAUCCCUUCUCUAGAUCUCCAACUCUACUUCCCUCAUACUAGCUGACAUCCUUCUUGGAGCCAUUCCUUCUCUGCUUACAUCAAAAGACCUUCCAGGGUCCCUUAAUGUUCCCCAUCUACUGACUCCCCACGACUGCGCUCUUGGCAGAGCAGGGGGAAAGGUGUCCAAACCUUCCCUCUCAGAUGGAACUCCAGUCGAUUCCACAGAUCGACGAGCACCUCGCAUUCUGGCUCCUCUGAAGAACAACACACAAGCAUACAAACAAUCAUUAGCAUCAUACAGUUCAUAUGAAAACACAUGAACCUGCAACACAUACAUAGCGUACAUAGCAUAUCAUACAUAACAUUAAUGCACAUGCAUAAAAUCAUGGCAUUCCACAUCAUCAUCAUACAAGACAGGACUCUACAUCCUAUCCUAGUGGACAUGAUUUUUCCUACUGUGCUUGCCCUUCUAUGACCUCUAAACCAACCUCUUUCUGAUGUGGGAUAUCUCUAAUCCUUGAGCAUCUUUGCUCAACACACCGUACUGAUGAGGCCCAAAGCUCUGAUACCACUCUGUAACGAUCCGGAAAUCGAUACCCCUCUGUAACGGCCCGAACCGCUACCGGCGCUAGGAUCCAGAUCGGCUUAAGGCCGCCGGGACCCGUAGCAAGCCAGACAUACCUCCUAUCACCUGGUCAAAUCCCAUACAUGAUCAAAACUUUAACAUAAAAACUUAAACAUCUGAUGUAAAUACCGAGCUUGACCUGUAUGCAACAUAACUGGAAACAUGAAGAACCCCCCCUACUAGAGCCCUCAACAAAACUCUAGCUGGGUCAACAUAACAUACAUCAAGCUGGGGUCACAUCCAAAGAACUAGGACCUAACCUGUGCAUGCAUCAAACCACAAACAUAAAACCUCCACUAGAGUCCUCAACAAACUCUAGCAUGGUAAACAACACAUGCCACAAGUUUAGUUCCAACACAACUCAACAUUAAACCAAUACAUACAUCAUGUAUUAAAAAGAGACUAACCAAGCCUUAGGGCCAAGCACAGUACUAAUCCAUAAACAUAAUUCUAUUUUACGUUACAUUACAUUAUCUUACAAUUCAUUAUCUCAGUUUACAUUACAUGUCCACAGGUGGACUCGAAUGAGGUGCCAAACACACUAAACAACUCAUAAACAACUACCCAUAAACCCCCUAAAAUAUCACUUAAACAUACAUAGAAAACAACCAUGAAAGGGCUGGACAGGGCACUUUCGGUGGCACCUUCGGCUGCCGAAGGUCCCUUCCAGAGCUGAAAGCCAUGUAGGUUCGGCAGAAGGUUCGGCGGCCGAAGCCUCACUCCAGAUCCGAAAUUCAGGCACCUUUGGCAGCCGAAACUCCCUUCCAGAGCCGAAAGUCCAACUUUCGGGGGCAGGGUUCGGCAACCAAAAUAAGCUACCACAGGCAGGUUCGGCGGCCGAACCUCAGUUCUUCCCAGAAGGGCAGAACUCAGCUUUCACAUGCACAACAGCCUCCAAACCUUCCAAAACAUGCAUUAACUAUUCUACAACAUGCAACCAAGCACAUAGGGGUCUCAAACUAUCCUAAACCCCAACAACAAUACAUUCAUUAUACAUAAACACACAUUUGCAUAAAGGGUAACAUAAACCCUCAACCUUAUGCAUUUGUUCUAAAACAACCCAAAUCCUCACAUACUCUCUCCCCAUCAUGCAUACUCACUCCCACAUGCAUAGACUAGUUUAAACUUCCAACAUAUCAUCACAUAAACACUCAUAAACAUACAUUUACAUAAAAACUCACAUAAACCUUAACAUG
This 4882-nucleotide long non-coding RNA is filed under the name Manihot esculenta (cassava). RNAcentral describes it as "long non-coding RNA (MESC_LNC009588)". The record is from RNAcentral. Lineage: Eukaryota; Viridiplantae; Streptophyta; Magnoliopsida; Malpighiales; Euphorbiaceae.